GAUGAAAAACGCAGCGAAAUGCGAUAAGUAGUGUGAAUUGCAGAAUUCAGUGAAUCAUCGAAUCUUUGAACGCACAUUGCGCCCCUUGGUAUUCCAUGGGGCAUGCCUGUUCGAGCGUCAUUUGUACCUUCAAGCUUUGCUUGGUGUUGGGUGUUUGUCCUGAGGGACUCGCCUUAAAGUAAUUGGCAGCCAGUGUUUGGUUUUGAAGCGCAGCACAAGUCGCGAUUCAAAGCUAUACGCCCGCUUCCACAAGCCUUUUUCACUUUUGACCUCAGAUCAGGUAGGAAUACCCGCUGAACUUAAGCAUAUCAAUAAGCGGAGGA
This 323-nucleotide unclassified non-coding RNA is filed under the name soil metagenome. RNAcentral's name for it is "partial contains 5.8S ribosomal RNA, internal transcribed spacer 2, and large subunit ribosomal RNA". The stretch from base 1 to 120 matches the Rfam family "5.8S ribosomal RNA", at positions 35 to 154 of the family's 154-position model. The record is from RNAcentral.